GGAUGAACGCUGGCGGCGUGCUUAACACAUGCAAGUCGAACGGAAAGGCUCCUGCUUGCAGGGGUACUCGAGUGGCGAACGGGUGAGUAACACGUGGGUGAUCUGCCCUGCACUUCGGGAUAAGCCUGGGAAACUGGGUCUAAUACCGGAUAGGACGAUGGUUUGGAUGCCAUUGUGGAAAGUUUUUCGGUGUGGGAUGAGCUCGCGGCCUAUCAGCUUGUUGGUGGGGUAAUGGCCUACCAAGGCGUCGACGGGUAGCCGGCCUGAGAGGGUGUACGGCCACAUUGGGACUGAGAUACGGCCCAGACUCCUACGGGAGGCAGCAGUGGGGGAUAUUGCACAAUGGGCGCAAGCCUGAUGCAGCGACGCCGCGUGGGGGAUGACGGCCUUCGGGUUGUAAACUCCUUUCGCUAGGGACGAAGCGCAAGUGACGGUACCUGGAGAAGAAGCACCGGCUAACUACGUG
RNAcentral lists this ribosomal RNA (466 nucleotides) under uncultured bacterium. Its description in RNAcentral is "partial 16S ribosomal RNA". It matches the Rfam family "Bacterial small subunit ribosomal RNA", at positions 27 to 507 of the family's 1533-position model. The record is from RNAcentral.